This 450-nucleotide ribosomal RNA is filed under the name uncultured Glomeromycotina. RNAcentral describes it as "SSU rRNA". It matches the Rfam family "Eukaryotic small subunit ribosomal RNA", at positions 569 to 1023 of the family's 1831-position model. The record is from RNAcentral. Lineage: Eukaryota; Fungi; Glomeromycota.
AGCAGCCGCGGUAAUUCCAGCUCCAAUAGCGUAUAUUAAAGUUGUUGCAGUUAAAAAGCUCGUAGUUGAAUUUCGGGGUCAGUAGGUUGGUCAUGCCUUCGGUAUGUACUGGUCUCACUGAUUCCUCCCUCUUGAAGAACUGUAAUGUCAUUAAUUUGGUGUUGCGGGGAAACAGGACUGUUACUUUGAAAAAAUUAGAGUGUUUAAAGCAGGCUCACGCUUGAAUACAUUAGCAUGGAAUAAUGAAAUAGGACGUUCGAUCCUAUUUUGUUGGUUUCUAGGAUUGACGUAAUGAUUAAUAGGGAUAGUUGGGGGCAUUAGUAUUCAAUUGUCAGAGGUGAAAUUCUUGGAUUUAUUGAAGACUAACUACUGCGAAAGCAUUUGCCAAGGAUGUUUUCAUUAAUCAAGAACGAAAGUUAGGGGAUCGAAGACGAUCAGAUACCGUCGUAG